This 440-nucleotide ribosomal RNA is filed under the name uncultured bacterium. RNAcentral describes it as "partial 16S ribosomal RNA". It matches the Rfam family "Bacterial small subunit ribosomal RNA", at positions 338 to 795 of the family's 1533-position model. The record is from RNAcentral.
CCUACGGGUGGCAGCAGUGGGGAAUAUUGCUCAAUGGGGGAAACCCUGAAGCAGCCACGCCGCGUGGAGGAUGAAGGCUUUCGGAUUGGAAACCCCUUUUUUUAGGGAAGAUAAUGACGGUAUCUAACGAAUAAGCACCGGCUAACUCCGUGACAGCAGCCGCGGUAAUACGGCGGGUGCAAGCGUUACUCGGAAUCACUGGGCGUAAAGAGCGCGUAGGCGGGAUAGCAAGUCAGAUGUGAAAGCCUAUGGCUUAACCAUAGAACUGCAUUUGAAACUGGUAGUCUAGAGUAUGUGAGAGGUAGGUGGAAUGCGUGGUGUAGGGGUAAAAUCCGUAGAGAUCAAGAGGAAUACUGAUUGCGAAGGCGACCUGCUAGAACCUAACUGACGCUGAUGCGCGAAAGCGUGGGGAGCGAACAGGAUUAGAUACCCUUGUAGUC